Molecule: ribosomal RNA, 468 nt
Filed under: uncultured bacterium
Lineage: Bacteria
Description: partial 16S ribosomal RNA
Rfam family: Bacterial small subunit ribosomal RNA
Source: RNAcentral
GACGAACGCUGGCGGCGUGCUUAACACAUGCAAGUCGAACGGAAAGGCCCUGCUUUUGUGGGGUGCUCGAGUGGCGAACGGGUGAGUAACACGUGAGUAACCUGCCCUUGACUUUGGGAUAACUUCAGGAAACUGGGGCUAAUACCGGAUAGGAGCUCCUGCUGCAUGGUGGGGGUUGGAAAGUUUCGGCGGUUGGGGAUGGACUCGCGGCUUAUCAGCUUGUUGGUGGGGUAGUGGCUUACCAAGGUUUUGACGGGUAGCCGGCCUGAGAGGGUGACCGGCCACAAUGGGACUGAGAUACGGCCCAGACUCCUACGGGAGGCAGCAGUGGGGAGUAUUGCACAAUGGGCGGAAGCCUGAUGCAGCAACGCCGCGUGCGGGAUAACGGCCUUCGGGUUAUAAACCGCUUUCGCCUGUGACGAAGCGUGAGUGACGGUAAUGGGUAAAGAAGCACCGGCUAACUACGUG